Molecule: ribosomal RNA, 376 nt
Filed under: uncultured bacterium
Lineage: Bacteria
Description: bacterial SSU rRNA
Rfam family: Bacterial small subunit ribosomal RNA
Source: RNAcentral
AUACGAAGGGGGCUAGCGUUGCUCGGAAUUACUGGGCGUAAAGGGCGCGUAGGCGGCUUGGCCAGUCAGGCGUGAAAUUCCUGGGCUCAACCUGGGGACUGCGCUUGAUACUGCUGAGCUUGAGGCCGAGAGAGGGUGGUGGAAUUCCCAGUGUAGAGGUGAAAUUCGUAGAUAUUGGGAAGAACACCGGUGGCGAAGGCGACCACCUGGCUCGGUACUGACGCUGAGGCGCGACAGCGUGGGGAGCAAACAGGAUUAGAUACCCUGGUAGUCCACGCCGUAAACGAUGUGUGCUGGAUGUUGGGGCUCCUAGAGUCUCAGUGUCGUAGCUAACGCGGUAAGCACACCGCCUGGGGAGUACGGCCGCAAGGUUGAA